GGCUGGUUAGCUCAGUCGGUUAGAGCAUGGUGCUGAUAACACCAAGGUCACAGGUUCGAUCCCCAUGUGUUGCCU
This is a non-coding RNA of Apaloderma vittatum (bar-tailed trogon), 75 nucleotides long. The record is from Rfam. NCBI's taxonomy places the organism in Eukaryota, Metazoa, Chordata, Aves, Trogoniformes, Trogonidae.